RNAcentral lists this ribosomal RNA (394 nucleotides) under uncultured bacterium. Its description in RNAcentral is "bacterial SSU rRNA". It matches the Rfam family "Bacterial small subunit ribosomal RNA", at positions 30 to 426 of the family's 1533-position model. The record is from RNAcentral.
AUUGAACGCUGGCGGCAUGCUUUACACAUGCAAGUCGAACGGUAACAGGCCUUCGGGUGCUGACGAGUGGCGAACGGGUGAGUAAUGCAUCGGAACGUGCCCAAUCGUGGGGGAUAACGUAGCGAAAGUUACGCUAAUACCGCAUAAGCCCUGAGGGGGAAAGCAGGGGAUCGCAAGACCUUGCGCGAAUGGAGCGGCCGAUGUCAGAUUAGCUAGUUGGUGGGGUAAAGGCCUACCAAGGCGACGAUCUGUAGCGGGUCUGAGAGGAUGAUCCGCCACACUGGGACUGAGACACGGCCCAGACUCCUACGGGAGGCAGCAGUGGGGAAUUUUGGACAAUGGACGCAAGUCUGAUCCAGCAAUGCCGCGUGCAGGACGAAGGCCUUCGGGUUGU